CCAGAACCUCUGCUACCAGUGUGCUUGUCCCUGCUGUGAGCCACAGCUGCCCCCCGCCUCUGCAGGAGACACUCCAACACUAGCAGGAACUUUGAGUCGCUCCAGAGCCCAAGCACCUGAUCCUCAAAUGUCGAUCCUGAUGGAAGGCUUUUCUGAGGAGAGAGAAUAAAAGGAAUAAAGGAG
This is a long non-coding RNA of Lagenorhynchus albirostris (white-beaked dolphin), 183 nucleotides long. RefSeq lists it as uncharacterized. The record is from RefSeq and is a predicted model, not a curated record. Lineage: Eukaryota; Metazoa; Chordata; Mammalia; Artiodactyla; Delphinidae. The transcript is spliced from 3 exons.